UACGGAGGGUGCAAACGUUAUCCGGAUUCACUGGGUUUAAAGGGUGCGUAGGUGGUUUUGUAAGUCAGUGGUGAAAGCCCGGAGCUCAACUCCGGAACUGCCAUUGAUACUGCUUAACUUGAAUCAACUUGAGGUGGAUGGAAUAUUACAUGUAGCGGUGAAAUGCUUAGAUAUGUAAUAGAACACCGAUUGCGAAGGCAGUUCACUAAGGUUGUAUUGACACUGAGGCACGAAAGCGUGGGGAUCAAACAGG
RNAcentral lists this ribosomal RNA (253 nucleotides) under uncultured bacterium. RNAcentral's name for it is "partial 16S ribosomal RNA". It matches the Rfam family "Bacterial small subunit ribosomal RNA", at positions 524 to 776 of the family's 1533-position model. The record is from RNAcentral.